UUUUUGAAUCCUUUUAACACUUUAUGAGAGAGAAAGAGAGCAAACAACAGAAUAUGCAGGCAGGCAAGCAGGCAGCGUCUAACUCCCCUAAACCGCCACAGAGCCUGCAAGCUUGGGAGUAAAUACAGCUUCUUUAGCACCUUGUCAUAGGAUAUAAACACUCUGUCUCACCACAUUAUUAGUUCCACGCUCUGGCAUACUGAGACAUUUACAGACACGAGACAGGGAGACAGAAGAGGCUAUGCUGGGAGGUUUAGAGAGAAGAAUUCGGGAUUCAAGCACUGCACACUAACGAGGAGAGGGACGGUAGGGAAGCCCAGAGAACAAGUGAGCCACUUGAGCUGGUUUUCAAAGAGACAGCGUAGAAGACACACAAACAUUCCUGGUUUCUUGCCUUGGCUGGACAACACGGCUGCAAAAGGAGCACCAGGAGGAAGCACCAGGGCUUGUACCACCCAGGGAUCUUCUGAGCAGCAGCACCUCCUAUAAGGAAGAUGGCUCCAUUCCAUGAUCCCUGGUGCCUCAAGGCACAGCAGAUAAGAACGCAAGAAAAGCCAUACCUGCCGAAGGGUCCUCUGGCUCCAGGCCUGUGCGAGGAGCAAGAAGGAUGAAAAGAAAAAGGGAAAAAACAGAAACGGUUAAGUUUGCGGGAAGCAAGCAUGAGACACACUGAGCGAUGAAAAUCAGCAGCCCUUGUCCGACACAAAACACCCUCAGUCACAACGGCCCCAUUACCAUAGGAACCCACUUGAAACCAUGAUGUGUUCACAGGCGCUGACCUUUGAGAACACAAGGCUACAUUCACAGGGAUGAAGAAACAAUUGUUCCUUGACAUUCUUACUUUACAGACUGAAAGGCAACAGAACUCUCUGCUGUCCAGUCCUUCUCAGUCUCCUUCCCCUUCCCCAAGCUGGCUGUAGGCUCAGCAUGACUGCACCUUAGCAGGCUGGGUUAAUUAAUGGGCCCCAGCAGUAGAACAUGACCGAAGCCUCAACAGCAUGGUUUUGUUUUAGGGGGUCUGUUUGUUUGUUGAUCCCUGUCUCCAUCCCAUUAAACAAGGCCCAAAAGCAUGUACAAUAUGGGCUGGAGAGAUGGCUCAGCAGUUAAGAGGGCUUUGCUACAUAAUCAUGAGGAGCAGAGUUCAGAUCCCAGGACCCACAUAGCAAGCCAGGAAUCCCACAAAUGCCUGCAACUCCAGCUCCAACGGAUCUGAAGCCCUCUUCUUGCCUCCGCCAAAAGGUGGGGUGGGGGUGCUGGGAGCAUACACAAAUAAAUAAAUCUAAUAAAAAUUUUUAGAAGAAAAUUCCACACCUGAUUUGAUUUCACAUGACAGAUCAGAGUCAAAAUGCAGGUGUGCUAAAAGUAUAAUAGGCUACAGGUAUGAAGUUGUGUGAAACACAAAUGAAUCUCAUGUUUAGGCUUGGGUUCCUUCUAUAACAUAUUCCAUUAUUUAUAAUGCAAACACUCUAAAAUCUAAGAGAAAAAGAUCUGAAAUACUUCUGAUCUCAAGCACUUCAAAUAAGACCCAGUGACUCUGUGACUGUGUACCACAUCAAGGAACAGCCACAGAUAAUCCAUAAAUGAAUGAGCUGUGCUCCCAAACACUCUUAUUUAUGAACAUUAAAUUUUGAAUUUUAAAGGCUUUCACGUGGUGUAUAAUAUCACUCUUCUUUGCAUUUUUCUAUCAGCCAUUUAAAAUAUAAAAGCUAUUCUUGGCCAACAAGCUAGAUUUUGCUCAUGGCCAGUGUGGCCACCCCACUCCUACACUCCUUUAACGUCCUGUCCCUCAGUUUCCUGAGAAGCCUUGUAUUCUCACUCCU
Peromyscus eremicus (cactus mouse) is the source of this 1820-nucleotide long non-coding RNA. RefSeq lists it as uncharacterized. The transcript is spliced from 3 exons. The record is from RefSeq and is a predicted model, not a curated record. NCBI's taxonomy places the organism in Eukaryota, Metazoa, Chordata, Mammalia, Rodentia, Cricetidae.